CAAAACUAAUUAGACAUGAACGUUGGUGAGCUGUUCACACUUACUGGAGGCCUAGAGGCUACUUCACCGUCAAAUAUAAAAAGCACUAAUUGAGUACAUUAAUGACAGGCAUCAUUAAGAGGGUACGUCUUGCAAUGUAGAGCAAUAGAAUAGCUAUUACUUUAGCAAACAAUUAUUGCAGAUCAUAUCUUGUUGGAUUUGUUGCAUCUCUACUACAAGGCCAUCAGACAUCCAGGUGACCUGAAAUCGGACAAAGUAUCUCGGACUGAGUAUUUUUUCUUUAAACCAAGCUAGUCUGCUAAAUUUGUUAUUGAUUCUAGUGUUUUAAGUUAAUUUGAUUGCUGGUUUGCUUUAGCUCUUGCCGUUUUUUAUUGCCAGUUGUUGUGAUAGACUCUACUAUUAAGUUAACUGCUCGCGUGACCUCCUAACUUUGCUAGGUUUGACCUGAUCGGUCUAGUCUUCUAAAGCAGAAGAGACUUGAAUCGUCUCAGUUUGUCAAAACACCACAUUCCCGGACUCCCAACAUCACUGCGACAACACGAUCCUGUAGAUACUCGCUCUACAACAUCAGGAGAACACGUCCUCUUCUCACUCAGAAGGAGGUACUGAUUCAGGCUCUUGUCGUCUCCUCCUGGACUACUGUAACUCUCUCCUGCAGGUCUCCUGCUACCACCAUUCCACCUCUGCAGCUCAUCCAGAAUGCAGCAGCUCCACUGGUCUUUAACCUUCCUAAGUUCUCCCUCACUCCUCCACUCCUCCGCUCUCUUCACUGGUACCGGUGGCUCAUCCAGUUCUAAACACUGGUGCUCACGUACCAUGCUGUGAAUGGAUGGGGUCCAGCUUCCAUCCAGGACCUGGUCCAACCCGACAUCCCGACCUCUGACCUCUCCGCUCUGCAUGUGAUAAACUGCUUGUUCCUCCUCACUGAGAGCAAAACACUCGACUAGAUCUCCACUCUUUGCUGUCCUGCUCCUAAAUGGUGGAAGGAGGUCUCUGAAGACAUCAGGACCACAGAGAGCCUUCACAUCUUCAGACUAAAGACACACCUCUUCACACUCUACCUCCACUAACACACUAACUGUAGCACUUACAUUGGACUUGUAACGUCACUCAUCUAUAGCAAAUUGUAAAUUGGCUUAUUUGAGGAAAUUUAACUUUCUUGUUCUUGUUGAGUUUGUACCGCUAUGACUGCACUUAUUGUAAGUCGCUUUGGCUAAAAGCGUCAGCUAAAUUACAUGUAAUGGUCAUAUCAGGGUCAGCUUUUUGCAUAUAAAAGAAACUAAUAUUUGCUGUCCCAGCUACAUGGCUUAGACACUAAUAAUAUAAAAAGGAUUAAUCAUUGAAAGAAAGUAAAAGGUAACAUUCAUGUAGAGAUGAAAAAAAAACAUCUCCACUUGGGGUUUUAUUCUCUUGGAUUAUCUCACUCCGUCAAGCGUCAAGCACGGUACCGCAAUUCAAACUGGAGCUAUUUGUCAAUUAAUCAAUCAGCCAAUUAACCCUGAUAGAUUGCCUGUGUGCACUAUCUGGUUUAAUUAAAGAAGAAGGGCAACCUCAAAAUGUCACAUUAGCAAACAAGCAUGAAAUAAAUAACGUGCGUUUUGACUGGAGCCUGAAUGGGCCCAAAAAAGUAAACCGUCACAAUGCAUAAUAUACUGUCCAGAAAAUGAGUGAGCUUUGGAGGAACGCAGGGUGGAACCCUUUGCAGACUGUCACUCCAUCUCUGGGUUAGUUAAUACAGGACUACAGGCACCUCCAUAAGCAAACACUCUGUCGUUAACAUACAUCCGCUCUUUAAAGACACAUUCCUGAUUGUUGAGUUUUAGUUUAAAUAUGGAAGGAAGUGACACUUUGACCAACUAGAAAAUUCCGCAGAAAUAAGGCUGUGACCUAUACAGAUGUCUGCGCAUGAGUCGGCCACGCAGGCAAGUGAAGGCUAGCCACAACGGCUAGCUAGCAAGCUAAAGACAUGAGCGAUUUCUUCUGGCUGUUUUAGCCACAGGUCCUGGUAUUGCCAGUGCCAUGUUGGCGCUUUUUCUUGCCUGGCUGUAUCACAAGACUCAUCUGUAACCACUUUGUAAAAAAAAUAUAACAAAAAUACUCUAUGACUCACUGAUGAGUGGGGGGGUGAAUUUCCAAUUACUCUUCUCAGGCUCUCCAGUCGGACGUUAGCCGUGCAGCUUUUUUUUCAAGGACGGAGAAGAGAAUGCAAAAAUGUCUCUCGGGAUUUUUUGCCUGCCCUCCGGGCUUUGAUGUAUAACCCCCCCACCCCGCGUGAGCCCACGGUUGCAAUAUGUGUGGCUGGUUUUCCUCGCUCCCUUUCUGUUGUGUCUGUUCUGGUGGAAUGCAAUGUUAUAUCAAACAGGAGCAGACCAGGAAGUCCAAGCAAGUUUGAAACACUUCCGUCAGGCAAAAUGUCCUCGGCAGCCGUGUGAUAUGAACAUGCUUAAUGCAUGCUUUUUGGUCCGUGGAAUACCAUGAGAAAUGCACAUCAGACCCCUGUUGGUGCUAAAACAGGUUCCUCUUUGGAGUUCUCUGCUUGCAUCUCGCUGAAUAAUUGAAGCUUCAAUUGAGCAGUGGGUAAAUGAGGAUACGGGGGUUUUGGCUAACCGCCUGCCCCCCCGUAUGACGGGAGAGCUCCCUGUGAGUUGGCCUCUCGGUCAGUAUUUACAGUCUUUUCAGCACUGACACUUUGAAGUCAAUAAGCCUCUGCAGAUCAACAUUUUCUCCCACACGAUGCCCCAGAUUGAUGAAGCGUCUCAAAAGCUUCAAAUUCAGCUCAUUUGCUCGGCCGGGUGGGCUGCAGUCUUUGCGUUCCUCGAUGCCACUUUGAGGGUGAAACAAAACACACACAUACACUGUGUAUCUGUACUCCAAUCUUUAAUUCCAGGUGUUUAUCCCAGAUCUUGAAUCCAGUAGCCUCCCCACCCCCCUUCUGCUUCUGCCGAAUCCUGCUAUUCAAUUCCGGGCUUGUUUUGUAGCGAACAUCCAGCUGCAUCAUAAUACCUCUUCGUGGCUGAAAACAGUAUGUAUGUCUGGGUGGCUUGUGUAUAUUAGAAAACUGGUCAGAAUGACUGAGAAAGCCCGUCUCGUAGGCUAGUCGCCCCACAAUGGCUGAGGCUGCACCUCUUUAAUGCGGUACUCAAGCUGACAGAUGAGGCUUAUCUCCCACAAGGAGAGAAACUGGCAGAGCCCCUCCCCUUGCCAGGCGAUCCAUACGGGUACAACAGAGGGAGUUUUUCAGGAGUUCAUCAGUUCACAUCACAGAUAAGGCUAUUGAGAUGGAGGGGGGGUGGGGGCUCAACUUACUAUGCAGUCAGCAGUGCUCCAAUCUUAAGACCUUGAAAUUCAUGCUCAACUUCAUGUCAGUACUUUUCCUCCCAAUCAUUUUAUUUCACAGUUACAACCAAAUGUUCCCAAACAUUUUGACUUAGUCUGUUGCAUAUUGUAACAGCUACACAUUUUGAGAUAUACAGCCAGAGCUACACACUCUAUUCAUUAGCAUUUAAACCCCCUUAAAUUGUCGUUAUUUUUUCCCCUCACUUAUAUGAAAUUGAAAACGUAAUUUCCAACCACUGAUAGAGGCCAACUGAAAGAAGCGUCAGCAUGUUAUUAAGUUACUAUCAUCAUUCUUCAGUUUGUACUUCUGAGCCUCAGCCAGUCAGGACGUUUUACAGAAUCAUAAAUUCAUAUUCGCCAUUAAUCUCAAGACCCAAAAAUGCCAUUCUAUUGCACUUUAUCCCAUUCAUGCUUAAGCUUGACUGCUUUUGCCAGCAUUUAUUUUAAUUGUUGCACUAAAUCUCAAGUUACUUCACACCAACAUCCCAAGUCAUUUCACACCAUCUGCUGCUCUAGAGUUUGCCUCUUCCCUCUGUUCUUUUCAUUGGACCACCCCUCAAUCCAUUUGUGGAUUAAACGUCUCCGGGUAUAAAUUAGACUGCUUUGCCUCUGAUGCCACGUGGUGAAUAUAGUAUCAGGUCGCAGGGCUACAAAUCUUUCCUUAAGCAUCGGUGGGGGAAUACUAAAUGUAAACGUCCAGGGACUCCGUGCCACCAAGUCAUUAUUAAAGAGGAAGGCGGUGCUUUAUGUGCCGCAGCAUUAGUGAUUGUUUAUGCCGAAGCAGUGUUAAUUUCGUCGACGAAAACUAUGAUGAAAAUUUUUCGUUAACAAACCUUUUUUCCAUGACUAAGACGAGACUAAGACGUGACGAAAACGAUCUUAAAAUAAAAACUAUGACUAAAUCUAUUCUAACUUUCGUUAACGAGACGAGACGAACAUGUUGGUGGUUGACGAAGUCACGAUACUUUUUCCCCCUAAAUUUGCACGCAGCUGACAGACAGACAGACAAAGUACGGCGGAUAUUAACGCGCCAUGAUGACGUCAUCCACCAACCCAGAACGCUCGCAUCACAUCGGUCCAGCAGUGGUUCUUGUGCACCGACUACGGACCGAGACGACUAUUUUACGCUUCGGGGGCUUUGAAUGUGGCUUCGUUAGUUUAGCUCAGCUGUCUCGGUUUAGCUGCCUGUUUAGCGGAGCUUUCUGCUCUGUUCUCUGGCGACGGCAGGCAGCGUUUCCUCGGCUGGAUGAUGAGACGCUCCGUCACAGGCUUCUCCAAACACGUCUAACAUAAUAAAGUUAUUGCAGGUUCUGAAGCCAAGAAAAUAAUGUAUUGCAAGGAUUGUAGGACGUUAAGGUCUCUUUAGUUGGGACAGUGGAAACAAUAAAGGAGCAUGAAGUGUCAAAAGCAUUGCGAGUAAACAGACAAAGACAACAAAGUGUUGCGUUUAGAUCCCUGGUCCUCAUGAAGUUGUUACACCUUUGCCAAUUUGUUAAAUUGCCUUGCAAAUAAAUGCUUUGCUAUUUGUUCAAAUCCAAAUCCUUUCAUGUGAUGAUGUUUCACACGUCAUUUAUAUCAGCUCACACAAACACUUCAACCAUUUAUUGUUGGCCCGGCUCCUCCGUCACAUUUUACAACCCAUUGUGGCCGCGAGUCAAACCGUUUGCCGACACCUAUAGACCUGUCCUAUAGGAGGGACAUCUAUAGGCCUGUCCUAGGAGGGACAUCUAUAGACCUGUCCUAGGGGGGACAUCUAAUGGACAACCAAGUACUGCAAGCUAGACUAUUAUGCAUCUGUAGACACAACACAGGGGGUCCCUGGGCCUGAGAAGGGAAGAAAAGGAGUUUAAUAUGGCUAUUAAAUGUGACUAAAACUAGACAAAACUAAUUACAUUUUAGUGUAGUUUUCAUCGCUGAAAACUACACUAAAAUGUUCUGAGUUAAACUAAAACAAAGAAGGAUUAAAAUGACUAAAUGUGACUAAAACUAAUAAGCAUUUUUUUGUCUAAAGACUAAGACUAAAUCAAAAAUAGCUGCCAAAAUUAACACUGUGCCGAAGACAAAGAGCAGGAUUGUCUUAUUCAACGAGAGGCCAUUUCCAUUGGUGAUGGUCCGCCCAAAGCAGGAGGUAUUGUUGACCUUGUUGCUGGCGGACGGUCCAAAGUGAAGAUCUGUGUGUAUUCUGGGACCGUGUAACGUCAGAGUAGCAUCUGGCCAUCAGAUACAGUGUAGCAUCAUUUAUGGGGGGGACAGAGCAUGUUAUGCAGAUAGAAGCAGCUGUUACGAAGCUGCAAAAUGAAUCAUCGAACAGUCGACGCAAAGAUGCUCACAAUGAAGCGCAUAUGUUGGUAGAUUGCAGUUUUGUUUGCAAUUUUAAUCGUUUUUCUGCUUCUACAUAAAACUGGUGAAAUGCUGCCAUGUGUGAAUGUGUAAAUCUUUAGAUCAGAGCUGUGAAUUGAGACUGUUUGCUAGAUGUGGUAUUUAUGUAAUAUCCAUGCCUGGGCUGCAGGUGCAUAGGCGGACAGUCAUCACACCAAAACAUUCUGAGCAUAAAUAUGCAUCUGGUGGAGAUCCAUUAAUCAGUGGAUCAAUCACGCACCUUAAACGUGCAGUCAUGUUAAUCUUAUUUGUAGUUUACCAAGGCUGGUUGUCCCCUUAGCGCUUAGCUGUGUCCAGUACGUUUAUCAGCUUUGAGUUUUAAAGAGGAAAAAUGAUUGAGAGCAUGUUCACAUGAUUCAACGUAAAAAAAACUAAAACCAUUUUUCCCUCACACUGUGUGAAUGUACCUACUCGUGUUUCCGUUUUAGCACUGAUCUCUUUAGCCACUCUCCCAAAAAUAAGAGAAGUAUGGUGCACCUCUGCAAAGGCAGUUUUCAGGCCUAAAAAAUGCAUGUAACUCAUUCCUUUGCUUACACCGAGAUUCUGCAAUACUUUUGUUAAGAAGAUCAGCCAUUACACCAUCUUACUCCUGUAGAAUAGAUAAUAACUGCCAGCGUUUGUUUUUUUUAUCUCCCUGUGGUAGGGGUAAAGUUCAUCAAAACUUCACACUUGUGGAGGUGGGCUGUGCAUCUUCAUUGGGAAAGGAGCUAGGAAGUGGGCGGCUAUUCUGGAUGUCUUGUUGAUGUGUUCAUUUCAGUGUUAAUUUUGGCAGCUAUAGUCUUAGUCUUUAGACGAAAAUGGAUAUUAGUUUUAGUCACAUUUAGUUUUAGUCACAUUUAAUAGCCAUAUUAAACUCCUUUUCUUCCCUUCUCAGGCCCAGGGACCCCCUGUGUUGUGUCUACAGAUGCAUAAUAGUCUAGCUUGCAGUACUUGGUUGUCCAUUAGAUGUCCCUCCUAGGACAGGCCUAUAGAUGUCCCUCAUAAGACAGGCCUAUAGAUGUCCCUCCUAUAGGACAGGCCUAUAGAUGUCCCUCCUAUAGGACAGGCCUAUAGAUGUCCCUCCUAUAGGACAGAGCAGAAAUGUCCGACAGUCUUUAAACGGGUCUUCAGCCUGCUAACAGUCAGCUAAACCGAGACAGCUGAGCUAAACUAACGAAGCCGCGUUCAAAGUUGCCGCAGCGUAAAAUAGUCGUCGCUGUCCGUAGUCGGUGCACAAGAACCACCGCUGGGUUGGUGGAUGACGUCAUCAUGACGCGUUAAUAUCCGGCGUACUUUGUCUGUUGUCUGUCAGUUGCGUGCAAAUUUAGGGGGAAAAAGUAUCGUGACUUCGUCAACCACCAACAUGUUCGUCUAGUCUCGUUAACGAAAGUUAGAAUAGAUGUGACACUCGACAGUCAACUCUCCCUGACUCCCAACUUCACUGCGACAACACCAUCCUGUAGAUACUCGCUCUACAACAUCAGGAGAACACGUCCUCUUCUCACUCAGAAGGCAGUGCAGGUACUGAUUCAGGCUCUUGUCGUCUCCUCCUGGACUACUGUAACUCUCUCCUGCAGGUCUCCUGCUACCACCAUUCCACCUCUGCAGCUCAUCCAGAAUGCAGCAGCUCCACUGGUCUUUAACCUUCCUAAGUUCUCCCUCACUCCUCCACUCCUCCGCUCUCUUCACUGGUACCGGUGGCUCAUCCAGUUCUAAACACUGGUGCUCACGUACCGUGCUGUGAAUGGAUGGGGUCCAGCUUCCAUCCAGGACCUGGUCCAACCCGACAUCCCGACCUCUGACCUCUCUGCUCUGCAUGUGAUAAACUGCUUGUUCCUCCUCACUGAGAGCAAAACACUCGACUAGAUCUCCACUCUUUGCUGUCCUGCUCCUAAAUGGUGGAAGGAGGUCUCUGAAGACAUCAGGACCACAGAGAGCCUUCACAUCUUCAGACUAAAGACACACCUCUUCACACUCUACCUCCACUAAAAAGACAAAUUGUAGCACUUAAGUGGCGUUAUAAGUACAAUGCAAUUUGCUACAAAUCGAAAAUAGAAAAUUGCACAUUCUUGUUUCUUGCUCCUCUGAGUUUGUAUCCUUAUGGUUGAAUGCAUUUAUUGUAAGUCACUUUGGAUAAAAGCGUCAGCUAAAUGACAUGUAAUGUAAUUGAAGUUAAGCCACUGUCAUCAUUGCACUGUACAUUCAAUACGAAUUAAUUCCAGCUAAAGGUACAUG
Gasterosteus aculeatus aculeatus (three-spined stickleback) is the source of this 7929-nucleotide long non-coding RNA. The record is from Ensembl. NCBI's taxonomy places the organism in Eukaryota, Metazoa, Chordata, Actinopteri, Perciformes, Gasterosteidae.